Acipenser ruthenus (sterlet) is the source of this 1943-nucleotide long non-coding RNA. RefSeq lists it as uncharacterized. Lineage: Eukaryota; Metazoa; Chordata; Actinopteri; Acipenseriformes; Acipenseridae. The record is from RefSeq and is a predicted model, not a curated record. The transcript has 3 exons.
AGGUCAGGGUGGUAAACUUUUAUCAAAGCAAGCUCUGUUUGUAAUGGGACCGCCCAUCUCUAGUGUGUCCAAUAGGAAUGCGUGGGCGGGGUCAUGUAUUUAUUUCCAGUCUUUAGGAUCGUUUCCAGGUCGCGUCGGGUGUGGAUGCAGCUUCAGGGUGCAUGUUUACUAGAGCAGGUGUUUCUUUCAACACUGCACAUUUGAGACCUAUAUAAUGAAUGGAAGUGCACAGCAGCUGAGAUUCAUGGGAUUAUUUUGUCAGCUCCAAUCCCUAUCAAUGUGAGGUCGUGUAAAUAGCAGCUCACAAUACUGUGGUUUUCUUUGACGUCUCAUGUCUCUCAUAUGAGCAGCAGAAAUUAGUCUGGACUUUCAGGGGACAGUAAGCCUUUUAAUAUGCAGUGCUGUCUCUGGGAAGUGCUCCUCCACAUGCAUAGAAUAAGACACAGGUAUGUGGAGCGCGUGAUCCUGAGGGGAGAGAGACACAGAGAGAGAAGAAGCAGGAAGAGAGUGUAGAGGGAGGAGGAGAGGUAAGGGCUGGGAUAGAGACAUAAGGAGAGGGGGAGAGGUGUGGAGAGCUUUUUUUAUUAUCAAAAUCACAUUUCUUCCAUUGACAUAUGAGACAUCUCUAAUACGUGUGACCUAUUACCUAGUUUGGUGUGUGUUGUAUAUUUUUUUGUGUAAUUCGCUGGGGGUCGGAAGGGGUGAAAAGAAACUAAAUGCAGGGCUGCUUUUCUUACUGGCUCUUUCUUUGUCUGGAGUUUCUGUUUCUGACUACAAAUAUGAGGGAAUUCAACAUUCACUGCUAUUGCCUGCUACUUGAGUCGACUACAAUAUGCAUUGAUGGGGAAGCUACUGUAUAGUCCUUUUAAAAGGACUAGAAAAGCUGGGAGAAAGAUUGCAUUGCUUUGAAAUGCUGCUAUUGAAUCUACAUGUAUAGCAUGCUGUGUUAAAUUGGGAUACAGGCAGAAGAACAUGUUUUAAAAUCACGAGGCCAGCACUUUAAAUGUGAUACCUACCCCAUUUCUCUUAGUAUUGUAUUAACAUCACUGCACUGCUCCUCGAUAGGACUCUUAUAAACUGGAGAGAAGAGCCACAGAAUUCCCUGGACGAGAUUCUGCUCUAGUGGCUGAAACACAGAGACAGUAUUUUAAUAAGAAGGGGCUUGUAUAAAGAGAACACUUUCUCAACAAGUGAUGUUUUCAUAUGUGUGCAGAGCACAAGAGAUCUCAGAGAAUGAUAAACGCUAACAAACAUCUCAUUUUCUGCUCAACCUGCUUGUCUAAACCUGGCCUCAGUCCAAAACCCUGCCUCUUACAGCUUUAUAUAACUCCUGGAAUUCAGAAACACUGGUAAGUUUCGUUUCUUGUGAAACCCAUCCCUGUCUCUGUAUCAUCUCAACAGAAACAGCAGAAGCACAUAUUGUGAUUCCAGCCCAGGAUCACACUUCAUGGUGAAUCGAGGGUAUUGACACAACUAUUCCAAUGGCUGGAGUUCCAUCCUUCUUAUAUUCCUGUACAGAACUAGACACUCUAACACAGCAGUCAAACCCAUUGUUAAUACUGUGAUAAAUCAGGAGAAAUGGACAGUCUAAACAUGGAAACAAGCUUGUUCUUGUUAUUCCACUUGUUCUCCUUGUUGAAGAAGAAAACUCCCCUCCCCUCCAAAAACAAUUGAGAACUGAAGUGGAGGCAUUUCUGUCCAUUUUACCCACUCAGAUCCCUCGCUCUCUAAAUAUAUUGGUGCAUCUGAAAAGAUAAUAGCACCAUCUUCAAAUACAAGCUAAAGAUUGUCAGAUUGUCAUUUUACUUUCACAAUGAAAAUAAAUAAAUAAACUAAUUUAAAAUGAUUAAAUAAGGUUGCAUUUAAGUUUUAAUGUAAGAGAUAUGAUUUUCAAUUUGCACUUUAAUCAAAACAAUGUAAUGGUUUUAAAUUUGAUCAGCAAU